This is a long non-coding RNA of Rhinopithecus roxellana (golden snub-nosed monkey), 314 nucleotides long. RefSeq lists it as uncharacterized. Lineage: Eukaryota; Metazoa; Chordata; Mammalia; Primates; Cercopithecidae. The record is from RefSeq and is a predicted model, not a curated record. The transcript has 2 exons.
GCCAGCAAGCUCCCAGUUCUCAAAAAAAGGAAAGGCCUGGGUGAAUGGGCGGCCCCUGGGGUGUGCAGAGGGGCUGCCACGUCGACAUGACCCACUGCCCAGGCCAGGUGCCAGCAUCUCCUCCCCACAGAGGGAUGUGAAAGAAUUAAGCCCUCCUCCUGUGGGGACAAGACUGCAGACUUCAGGCAAUCGUGGUUGGACAUUUGCCCUGCCCCUUAUUAUGUGGUCAUGUCCACCCCCAUCACUUCAGUGGGCCUCCGUUUCCUCAUGGGGUUGUUAAAAUGCAUUAAUCAUUAAAAUUAUUGUUUGCCUGG